This 104-nucleotide ribosomal RNA is filed under the name Acanthosepion pharaonis. Lineage: Eukaryota; Metazoa; Mollusca; Cephalopoda; Sepiida; Sepiidae. The record is from RNAcentral.
GCUCAUAUCAUGUUGAAAUAUCGGUUCCCGUACGAUCACUGAAGUUAAGCAACGCCGAGGCCGGCCAGUAUCUAGAUGGGUGACCGCUUCGUAAUACCAGGUUG